Long non-coding RNA from Notolabrus celidotus (New Zealand spotty), 2381 nucleotides. RefSeq lists it as uncharacterized. The transcript is spliced from 2 exons. The record is from RefSeq and is a predicted model, not a curated record. NCBI's taxonomy places the organism in Eukaryota, Metazoa, Chordata, Actinopteri, Labriformes, Labridae.
CAGAGCUCUAAGUUUGGAGGCCCUUUCCUCCAACUGAGCCUCUAAUGUCUUCAACUUAUGCUCAAGUUGUUCUUCCUGGACCAUCUGAGGUUCCUCCUGGACAGUCUGUUGUUCUUCCUGGACUGUCUGUUUUUCCUCCUUGUCCACUGGAUGUUCUUCUUGGAUCGUCUCAGGGUCUUCUUCAACCAUCUCAUGUCUUGGUUUGACUGUCUCUGUAGUGGGACUGAUUGGUUCCCUCGUUUGAAGCUGUUCUCUGAGGUCCUCCACCUCCUUCUGCAGCGCCUGACUAAUGUCCUCCUGAGCUCUAAGUUUGGAGGCACUUUCCUCCAACUGAGCCUCUAAUGUCUUCCACUUCUGCUCAUGUUGGACUUUGAUGGUGUCCACGAGAUUCAAGGAUCUGGAGCAAUGAACCAGGUGCAGGUACAUUCCAUCAUACAUCUUCUUCUUUAGAUUUUUAAUCUUUAAGCCACGUCCUUUUGUAUCUCUAGCCGAAAAUAUCAGGAUCCUAUUCAGUACAUCGAGUUCAGCAUCAUAUCUCCUGAUGUAUUCUUCAGUCUGUUUUCGCCAUUUCUGCUCCCAGGGUUGGCUCUCCCUUCUAUUAGUCUUAACCUUGCGCAGCUUCUUCACCUUGCGCUGCUUCUUCACCUUGCGCUGUUUAUGGUAUUCAUCCUCUUCCAUCAUAACUCGGGCAGAUGGGAGGAGGUUUCCCUCAGUUGCAGUCACGUACUCCUCCUUACUAGUAAAGGAACAUACACUGACCACAGAAUUAAAUUGCCCUCCGUUCUUUAGGAUUUCCCCAGAAUCUUUCAAUGGGUGCUUUACAUAGCUCUUGAGCUUUGUCUGUUUUUCCUCCUUGUCCACUGGAUGUUCUUCUUGGAUCGUCUCAGGGUCUUCCUCAACUAUCUCAUGUCUUGGUUUGACUGUCUCUGUAGUGGGACUGAUUGGUUCCCUCCUUUGAAGCUGUUCUCUGAGGUCCUCCACCUCCUUCUGCAGCGCCUGACUAUUGUCCUCCUGAGCUCUAAGUUUGGAGGCACUUUCCUCCAACUGAGCCUCUAAUGUCUUCAACUCAUCCUCAUCUUCCGACAAGGUGUCCACAAGGUCCAGGGAUAUGGAGGCAUGACGCAGGUGGUGGUUACCUGCUUCAUUCAGCUGGUUCUUUAGAUCUUGAAUUAUUAUGUCAUCUUUUUUUAAAUUUCUCAAUGAAAGUGGAACUGAAUGUAUCGGGGUGUUAUUCAGUUCUUCGAGCUCUGCCUCAGAUAUCCUGAUGUAAUCUUUAGUCUGUUUUCUCCAUCUCUGCUCCCAGAGCGGCCUCUUCCUUCUAUUAGUCUCAACAGGCUGCUUCUUCACCUUGCGCUGUUUAUCAUAUUCCUCCUCUUUCAUCAUAACUCGGGCAGAUGGGAGGAGGUUUCGCUCAGUUGUAGUCGGGUACUGGAGCUGAUUAGAGCCCCCAACUUCUGGUACGGACUCCUUCUCCUUUCUAGUAAAGUAACAUAUUUCGACCAUCGAAUUAAAUUUCACUUUCUUCUUUGGGAUUCCCUCAGAAUCUUUCCAUGGGCUCUUUAAACAGCUCUUGAGCUUUGGUGCUGUUAGUUUAGUCCACAUUUUUGAAAAAGUCGUUGCUAAUGCUGAUGACAUUGUUAGGUUUAAAAGAAUUAAAAGCGAUUCGCAAAGUCUUUUUCCACACGGUUGUGUCUCAGGUCUGGAUCUGUGAGCUGCUUGUUGGCUUUUGUGGUUUACAGCCUACCCUGACUCAACACUCUAAACUACUUUGUGAUGUCAUAGUCAAAAAGAAAAAUUGCCAGUGAUCUUUCAUCACAUUCAGUUUCUGUGUUGCCAUGGUAAUUUCAUCAAAGAGAACAGUGGUCAGUGGUGUUGUCUGUUGUUGGAGAGCUACAUGUGUCUGCUUUGCAAUCCAGCUGUUCAGCUUUAACAUGGCCGUUACCGAGGAGCAGGAGGAGAACACAGUUGUAAAAACGUUUUUGUUCUCAAUGCUUUUAUUUUGAAACACAGGCUUUUAUUUUGAAACACAGGUUUUUAUUUUGGUGAGUCCAGUUUGAGUUUUUUCUACUGAUCAGCAUGGUAGCCAUUUUGAACACAUUUCCAGAGGAUCACGCAAUCCAGUUCCAUCCUGCUUUCGUUUAACACCUUGGGAAUUGCCAAUGGAUGUGGCACCUUCAGGCAUCUGGAAAUUGUACCCCGGGCGGAACCAGAGUUGUGGAGGUCGACAAUUCUCUUCCUGAUAUCUUGGCUGAUUUCUUUUGAUUUUCCCAUGAUGUCUCACGAGGAAGCAGUGUGUUUGAGUUGUGCCAAUAAAAUACAUCCACAAGUGUGCCUCCAGUUAACUCAAUUGUUGUCAAUAAACCUAUCAAAUGCUUCCAAAG